GCCCCGGCCGUGCCCUGAGCCCCGCACCGCCACCGCGACCUCCGGCCGUCUCCGGCGCCGCGUGGGACCGCUUGGGGGUUGCGGGAUGCGGGCGGUGCGGAGCGGCGCGGAGCGGCGCGGCGAAUCCCCCCUCCCGCACGGCGGUGGUGCGGUCCGAGAAGAUGGCGGCGGGACGCGGCGGGAGCGCUGAGCAUCCCCCAGCAGAUGCCUGCAGGAGGAGGUGACCCCAGCGGGUGAGAUGGCUGAGUGGGAGCGGCUGUUUGCACAGAGCCGUGCUGUCCCACCUCACACCCAGCGCAGACACGGCGCGCCGGAGCGCUCGGUGCCUUUCCAGUGUGUCCUGAAGUGCCUCGAGGGUUCUGUUGUCACGCAGCAGCCCCCAGCUGAGCUGCAGCUCCGCCUGUCUCUCUUCGAUGCCGCCCACCGCCACUUCUUUGGCCACACGUGGCACAGCAGCACCCGGACCCCCUGCAGCCCCCCAGGGCAGCCCCCCUGUGUGCUCUUCAAUGAGGCCGUGUAUUUCCACACCUCGCUCAGCCACCCCAGCAUCACAGCCGUGCUGGAGGUGGUGGCUGUGGCCCCCACCCCAGAAGGGCUCUCACGGGACGUGUCGUGUGGCUUCGGGCUCAUCCCACUGUUUGACAGCAGGCGGGAGCCCUCAGACCUGGCUGCCAAGGGCAGAGUGCUCAAGCUGUACCACGGGACACCACGUGCCUUGCUGCACCCGCUUCUCCAGGACCCUCUAGAAAAGAAUAAAUACAUGACUAUAAUGGAGAACAGCCACCUGCAGUACACCCUAAAGCUCCACCAGCCUCUGGAGAAGGUAUUUCACCUCCUUCCUGAAAACUUCCUGGUGUCUGGCCUGCAGAAGAUCCCUGGCCUGCUGCCUGCACAUGGGGACACAGGUGACAUCUUCCUGAAGCCGCGGCUCAUGGGGACGGCCCCCUGCUACCUGGACCAGCUCUGUGUGCUCCUGCACCCUUCUCUGGAGGAGUUUGAGGAAGAGCUGCUGGAGCAGCUGAACAGCGACCGCUUGCUGAAGCAGGAGGCUGGCAGUGCACUGUGCGUGCAGGAGCGGCGGCUGCGUGUCGGUGUGCACAACGGGCUGCGCUUCGUCCAGGCUCCACAGGUGGCCGUGCUGCAGCCAGCAGCUGAGGUGGCCCGGAGACAAACCACCAGCUCCACGGACAGCGCUGCAAAGCAGGCGCUGCUGCUGCGGAGCCGCCUGCAGCUGGGUGAGAUGGUCGCCCAUCCGGCCUUUGGGGUCUGCUUCCAGCUGGAGUACGUCGUCUGUGCUGCAGCCAAGGCUGCAGCCGGCAGUGUGUUGGGCCCAGCAGCUGCCAUGCACACGGUGCGCUGGGCGCUUUGGAGCCCCUUCCUGGGUGCCACCUCCUCCCCAGUGCUGCUGCCCCUGCGCGGCGGUGCCCAUCCCAGCCCCAGCCAGACCCUGGUGUACAGAAACCCUGCAGACAGCGAGAGCUCCCAGCAGGUGAAGCGCAUUGCGUCGGGUUCCGUCCAAUUCCACGUUUCCACUGAUGCAGAACAUCGUGUGACUUCUACAGACAUCUCGAGUAAAGCUGGGAAGGAGCCGGAGGAGCCUCCUACGCCAUCACUGAGUCUGCGCUCCCCGCUGCGCCCGGCAGCCUCCACGCAGGGACCAGGGCUGUCUCUCUCACAGCUGCUGGCCUCGCCGCAGAGCAGGGAUGAGCGCGCAGUGCCUCGGAGCCGCAGUGCCCCAGUGCCCCGGGCCUGCAGCACGCAGAGGGACGGCCGCGCCGAGCGCACUGCUGGCAUCACGCACCUGGAGGCUGACCUGAGGUCGGGCUCCCCGAGCGUGGAUGCCUCCAGCAGUGAGCACCUGUGGGCGCUGCCCUUUGUGCCGACGCAGCUGCCCGUCACGGCUGUGGGGCUGCCUGCUGGGAGCACUGCACUCAGCCGUGCCUCGCUGGCGCUCCUGCACACCUCUGGCUUCCCAGAGAUCCUCGAUGGCAACAAGGAGCCCGUGGAGGUCACGGAGCCGCUGAACCCCGCGCACUUCAGUCCUCGGCUGGAGGAAGUGGAUGCUCUGCAAAGCAAUGAAAUAAUCCUGCAGUUCCUUGCGUUCAGUAGGGCUCCUCAGGAUGCACUGGAAGGGAUGUGGCCGAGGACAGUGUUCCUCACCUUCCAGUUCUACCGCUUCCCCCCGGUCACCACGCCGCGGCUGCAGCUGCUCGAUGCGGAUGGCGAGAGGGCAGUUGGGUCUGCUGUGCCAGCACAAGUGCUGCUCCAGCUGAAUAAGGAUGGGACCCCAAACACUGAAUCCGCAGGGCUGCAGCUGAGGUACGUGGUGGAUCCCACCUUCCUGAGGCCUGGGGAGCAGCGUGUCUUCGUGCGCUACCUGGCUGAGCACAGCCUGCAGAUGGACAUCUGGGAUGGGGACUCGCUGCUGCUGGUCGGCUCUGCUGCGGUUAAACUGAAGCCCCUGCUGCGCCAGGGCCGGCCGGCUGUCAGGACGCUGCAUGAGCUGGACGUGGUCACCACUGAGUACGAGCAGGAUGCACCACCAGCAGCAGGCAGGGAUGUGCUGUGUCCUCUGGGUGCCCGUGUGGCCGUACGAGGCCGCCUGCACCUCUGCUUGGCCAACAUUGGUCACCGCUGUGAGGAGACUCCUGUGAGCCCCAGGCACCCACUGCUGUCCCACACCCACGUUGUGUCCUCUCCGGGUGGUGGCUGUUUGCUGUCCCUGCACACCAGUGGGGAUGUCAGGGUAUCUCGGGCACGCAGGCUGGCCGAGGUGGAUAGCGAGUUGGCAGCCAUUCUGUGCAGCCAUCGGCUGGAGCAGAGCCCAGAACCCCUGCAUGCCCCACACGAGGCCGCGGCCAUCCAGCAGCACAAGCUGCAGCGCUUGGCAGCAUUGCAGCAGCAGGAGGAUGCUGACUGGAGGAUCCCACAGCGCACGGGCUGCUGUGAGCAGUGCAUGCAGUACCUGCAGAUCAUCGAUGCCUACCGAGAGCGCACCAAGCACCGGUACAUCUCCCAGAUGCUCAGCCAGGCCAUCACCAUCACACACACUGUGUAUGCCAUGCUGGGAACAGCUGAGUUCUUUGAGUUCGCCCUGAAGAACCCCUACAGUGUCCAGCACACGGUGACGGUUGAGGUUGACCACCCCGAGCUCAGUGUCAUACUGGACCCAAGGGAGUGGCGGCACUUCAAGGAGUUGACCCAGACAGCCACCCCGCUGGAGGAGGACAUGUUCCACCUGCAGGAUGACCUCAGGCCUCAGAUCUACCUGCGGCCCAAGGAAACUGUGCACAUACCCUUCCGGUACCAGAUGUUCUCUGCAGAGCCGGCUGCCACGGCGGUGCUGGGACCCGUGGGGCUGAGCAAAGAAGAUGCAGGGAGGAUGCAGGAGGAGCCAAGGGCUGCGCAGAUGAGGCUCAUCCAGGUGGCUUUCCGUGUGAGUGGGGGCAAACCCAUUGCGCUGCUGCAGGUGAAGGUUGAGCCCCGGCCCCACGUGGUGGAUCAGACCUUCCGCUUCUUCCACCCCGAGCUGACCUUCCUGAAGAAGGCCUUCCGCCUGCCCCCAUGGCACACGAUCCCAGGUGCUCCGGUGAGGAUGCCGGGUGGUGAUCCGGAGGUCUAUGUCCGCUGCAGCGACCCUAAUGUCAUCUGUGAGACCAAAAACAUGGGUCCUGGGGAACCACAGGACGUCUUCUUAAAAGUAGCUGGAGGACCAAGCCCGCAGAUCAAAACAUUCUUUGUUGCUAUUUAUACGGAUCCCUGGCUGGCCACGCCGCUGCACAUCUGGCAGUUCUACCUGCACUCCCUGCAGCGUUUGGAUGUCAGCUGCACUGCAGGGCAGCUCUCCCGCCUGGCCGUCCCGCUGCGCGGCACCCGCACCCUGCGCAGGGUGAAGGCGUUCUGCUCCCAUCCCCACGAGCUGAAGGUGGACCCAGCAGGUGUGUUCAUCCUGCCCCCCAAUGGGGUCCUGGAUCUGUUUGUGGGUGUGAGGCCGCGCCGGGCCGGCAGCAGAUUCUUCUACCUCAACCUGGUGGACGUGGAGUGCCACCAGCUGCUGUCCUCCUGGCUGCUCUGCGUCACCUGCCGACAGCCACUCAUUUCCAAGGCCUUUGAGAUCACCAUCCCCGCAGGCAGUGGGAAGGGCUCCAACAAGCGCAUCACCUACACCAACCCCUACCCCACACGCAGGCUGUACUUUCUGGUCACCAGCCGGCCCGACCUGCUGCAGUUCAAGGAGGACUCCUUCCAGGUUGCUGGUGGGGAGGUUUACACCAUCGGGCUGCGCUUCGCCCCGAGUCAGAGCGUGGGUGAGGAGGAGAUCCUGAUCCACAUCAACGACCAUCAGGACAAGAACGAGGAGACCUUCUGUGUGAAGGUCAUCUACUACUGAGGCCGUGGCAUGGUUCUUGGUCCUCGUUUGGGCAAUGCACUGAGCUCCCCAAUGAGCCCAGCCCUGCAGGUUGAGGGGACCGUGUCCGCUUCUCACCUCACCCCAUUGAGCUGUGGGGUCCCUCUGGCCCUAUGGGAGCCCUCUGGCCCUAUGGGAGCCCUGCUGCUGGCACAAGGACUGGGCUGCCCUGUGUUCAGAACAGGAAGGAGGAAUGUUUGCCACUGUGUGCCACAGCUGCAGAAGUGCUGACUUGCUUGGCCUUGACGUAACUAUUGGAAAUCCACCGUGAGUUCUACGGAGGGGAAGAUUCAUUAUGCAGAGAGAGGAAAAAAGGAGAUGAGAACAAAAGCAUGGAGCAAAGGAGAGCUGGAUCUCUGCUGGAUGAAGGCUGUCCCCAUUCCUGCCAUCUCCCAGCCGUUGGGGUGGGUGUGCACGUGGCAGCUGUGGCACUGCUUUGCAGGGCGUUAUGGUGAUGUUAUGGUGAUGAAUUGGUAGCCCCAGUGAAGUCGGGUGCUGAGUUA
Phasianus colchicus (ring-necked pheasant) is the source of this 4911-nucleotide RNA transcript. It is a transcript of the gene named nephrocystin 4, with no coding region annotated. The record is from RefSeq and is a predicted model, not a curated record. NCBI's taxonomy places the organism in Eukaryota, Metazoa, Chordata, Aves, Galliformes, Phasianidae.